RNAcentral lists this transfer RNA (84 nucleotides) under Colletotrichum graminicola M1.001. RNAcentral's name for it is "tRNA-Thr for anticodon CGU". It matches the Rfam family "tRNA". Rfam says of the family: Transfer RNA (tRNA) molecules are approximately 80 nucleotides in length. Their secondary structure includes four short double-helical elements and three loops (D, anti-codon, and T loops). The record is from Rfam by way of RNAcentral. Lineage: Eukaryota; Fungi; Ascomycota; Sordariomycetes; Glomerellales; Glomerellaceae.
GCCCUUUUAGCUCAGUGGUAGAGCGUCGCACUCGUACUGUUGCACACUAUGCGAAGGUCCACGGUUCAAUCCCGUGAGGGGGCA